AUUGUCCCCUCUGUGUCCCCUCCGGGGUCAUUGUCACCUCUGUGUCCCCUCGGUGUCCCCUCGGUGUCAUUGUCCCCCCCCUGUGUCCCCUUGGUGUCAUUCAUUGUCCCCUCUGUGUCAUCAUUGUCCCCUCUGUGUCCCCCCUCUGUCCCCUCGGUGUCACUCAUUGUCCCCUCUGUGUCCCCUCUGUGUCAUUGUCCCCCCUUCUCUGUCCCCUCUGUGUCCCCUCUGUGUCACUCACUGUCCCCUCUCUGUCCCCUCGGGGUCACUGUCACCUGUGUCCCCUCUCUGUCCCUUUGGUGUCACUCAUUGUCCCCUCUCUGUCCUCUCUGUGCCAUCAUUGUCCCCUCUGUGUCCCCUCUGUGUCACCUUGGUGUCACUCAUUGUCCCCUCUGUGUCCCCUCUGUGUCACUGUCCC
Molecule: long non-coding RNA, 418 nt
Filed under: Numida meleagris (helmeted guineafowl)
Lineage: Eukaryota; Metazoa; Chordata; Aves; Galliformes; Numididae
Description: lncRNA (ENSNMEG00000000721.1)
Source: RNAcentral